AGAGUUUGAUCAUGGCUCAGAGCGAACGCUGGCGGCGUGCUUAACACAUGCAAGUCGAACGCGCAGCAUUCUGUAGCAAUACAGGGUGUGGGCGCGUGGCGAACGGGUGCGUAACACGUGGAUAACCUUCCUUGAGGUGGGGAAUAACCCAGUGAAAAUUGGGCUAAUACCGCAUAACAUCGCGAUGGCACAUGCUGAUGCGAUCAAAGGCGCAAGUCGCCAUAAGAGGGAUCCGCGGCCGAUUAGCUUGUUGGCGAGGUAAUGGCUCACCAAGGCAAUGAUCGGUAGCCGGACUGAGAGGUUGGCCGGCCACACUGGAACUGAGACACGGUCCAGACUCCUACGGGAGGCAGCAGUGGGGAAUCUUGCACAAUGGACGAAAGUCUGAUGCAGCAACGCCGCGUGGGGGAUGAAGCUUCUCGGAGUGUAAACCCCUUUCGACCCGGAAGAAUGCCCGCAAGGGUAUGACGGUACGGGUAUAAGAAGCCCCGGCUAACUACGUGCCAGCAGCCGCGGUAAUACGUAGGGGGCCAGCGUUGCUCGGAAUUACUGGGCGUAAAGGGUCCGUAGGCGGUGUAGCAAGUCGAUAGUGAAAUCUCUGGGCUUAACCCAGAGGCUGCUAACGAAACUGCUGUGCUAGAGUGUGAGAGAGGCGAGUGGAAUUACGGGUGUAGCGGUGAAAUGCGUAGAUAUCCGUAGGAACAUCCGAGGCGAAGGCGGCUCGCUGGAUCACAACUGACGCUGAGGGACGAAAGCUAGGGGAGCAAACAGGAUUAGAUACCCUAGUAGUCC
RNAcentral lists this ribosomal RNA (792 nucleotides) under uncultured bacterium. RNAcentral describes it as "bacterial SSU rRNA". It matches the Rfam family "Bacterial small subunit ribosomal RNA", at positions 8 to 796 of the family's 1533-position model. The record is from RNAcentral.